GCAGUGGCAUCGACCCAUGGGUUUAAAUAGUUAUCAAAAGUACCAGGAUUGUAAUUUAGUACGCCAGACGCGCGUUUCGUCUACAUUCGUCGGGUAAAAAUUGAUGAAAAUUGGAAAAAUCAUCAAAAUUGGGUACUUUCAGAGGGCCGUAGCAAAAAAAAAGCGCACCACCAUAUGAUUUUUUCUUCACCAAAUGUUUUAUUACAGUCAUAUAAACCCAAAAAUAAGGUUUAGAAAAAAAGUUUAAUUCUAGAAUUUGUUGGCUCCUCAGAGGUGUACAUCCUUAAGCAC
This 291-nucleotide long non-coding RNA is filed under the name Mytilus galloprovincialis (Mediterranean mussel). The record is from RNAcentral. Lineage: Eukaryota; Metazoa; Mollusca; Bivalvia; Mytilida; Mytilidae.